CCUACGGGGGGCAGCAGUGAGGAAUAUUGGUCAAUGGGCGUAAGCCUGAACCAGCCAAGUCGCGUGAGGGAUGAAGGUUCUAUGUAUCGUAAACCUCUUUUAUAAGGGAAUAAAGUGUGGGACGUGUCCUGUUUUGUAUGUACCUUAUGAAUAAGGAUCGGCUAACUCCGUGCCAGCAGCCGCGGUAAUACGGAGGAUCCGAGCGUUAUCCGGAUUUAUUGGGUUUAAAGGGUGCGUAGGCGGCCUUGUAAGUCAGCGGUGAAAGUCUGUGGCUCAACCAUGGAAUUGCCGUUGAAACUGGGGGGCUAGAGUAUGUUUGAGGCAGGCGGAAUGCGUGGUGUAGCGGUGAAAUGCUUAGAUAUCACGCAGAACCCCGAUUGCGAAGGCAGCCUGCCAAGCCGUGACUGACGCUGAUGCACGAAAGCGUGGGGAUCAAACAGGAUUAGAUACCCCUGUAGUC
This 460-nucleotide ribosomal RNA is filed under the name uncultured bacterium. Its description in RNAcentral is "partial 16S ribosomal RNA". It matches the Rfam family "Bacterial small subunit ribosomal RNA", at positions 338 to 795 of the family's 1533-position model. The record is from RNAcentral.